CCGUUCAGGGGUAAACCUGAGAAACCCGAAAGAUCGAAUGGGGAGAUUCAUCGUCAGCGGUCUUGGUACGUGUGCGGUAUCGCGAUGCCGGAGAUUUCGGUCUCCGGGCACGCGUCCGCAUAUUUUUACUGCCUGGAUCGUCGGCGUGCACUUCUCCCCUAGUAGGACGUCGCGACCCGUUGGGUGUCGGUCUACGGCCUGGGUGGUAAGACUGUCUCGUGUGCGCUUCGCGGCGUUACGCGGUUCAGACCCCCGGUUGCCCGACCGGCUGCCCGGCGGUACUCACACGGUAUCUGGCCGCAAAUAUUCGAACUGCGUCCGGCCCGUCGCAAGCGAGACAAGUGUUUCCCGGUUGUACGGAUCCAAUGCCGUCACCGGGCCUUGUCAGCUGUUGGCCGACGGUGUCCUGGGACAGGCUAAUACGAUUAUGAUACCGGUCGGCGACGCUACUGCUUUGGGUACUUUCAGGACCCGUCUUGAAACACGGACCAAGGAGUCUAACAUGUGCGCGAGUCAUUGGGUAAUAUUAAACCUAAAGGCGCAAUGAAAGUGAAGGUCGGCCUCGCGCCGACCGAGGGAGGAUGGGCCGCGUCACGAUGCGGUCCCGCACUCCCGGGGCGUCUCGUUCUCAUUGCGAGAAGAGGCGCACCCAGAGCGUACACGUUGGGACCCGAAAGAUGGUGAACUAUGCCUGGUCAGGACGAAGUCAGGGGAAACCCUGAUGGAGGUCCGUAGCGAUUCUGACGUGCAAAUCGAUCGUCGGAACUGGGUAUAGGGGCGAAAGACUAAUCGAACCAU
This 798-nucleotide ribosomal RNA is filed under the name Stenarella victoriae. RNAcentral's name for it is "partial 28S large subunit ribosomal RNA". It matches the Rfam family "Eukaryotic large subunit ribosomal RNA", at positions 405 to 943 of the family's 3401-position model. Lineage: Eukaryota; Metazoa; Arthropoda; Insecta; Hymenoptera; Ichneumonidae. The record is from RNAcentral.